Long non-coding RNA from Equus caballus (horse), 2275 nucleotides. Lineage: Eukaryota; Metazoa; Chordata; Mammalia; Perissodactyla; Equidae. The record is from Ensembl.
AAGUUAUUAUAUCCUUAUUUUUUAUUAUAUUUUAUUUAGAAAUAGUUUACUAAGUAUUCAUUUAGAUUACCAUAUAAUUUACAGCAAUAAAUAUUUCUUUUAGCAGCAUAGUGGUCUUGAGAUGCAAUGCCUUUAUCUGUCUUCAGAAAUAAAGAUUUUAGUAGCCCAGCUGGUGUGAGUGCUGCAGGUAUCCAGUACUUAGCUAUCAACCCUCGUCAGAGAUUAACUCCAUGAUGCUUCAUGAUCACCUCAGCUGAAGAUCAUUGCCAAAGGUCAAUGACCCCAUCCCUUAUUGGUCCAUAUCCAGUGGUUGCUCUAGACGUGAGGAAAAAUACCCUGCUUUCUCAUCACAUCUUGGAACAGCUCUGAUGGGUCAUUCCAUCUUGAGCACUCCCUGCAGAGAUGGCUGAGCCAUUCCACUGAAACAGCAUUGCAGCCUUGACUUCUUUCUGUGACUGAUCCGGCUUCUUUCUUUGCUCAUGCACAGCUGUUAAUCCCAGGAGAAUUCCUUAAUAAACUCCCUGCUGUCUAUUUUCUGCCUCAGAAUCUACUUCUCAACGAAACCAUCAUGUAACAAGUUUCUCCACUGCAAGGUUACUUUGUUCCUGAUUUCUGUCCUCUACUCCUUGGAAUGAGGUCGCUAUGUGCAGCCCAUGUUGAAGAAGUGGAGAGUUAAGCUCCAACACUUUGAAGGUGUGGUGCCAAGGACUAUUGAAGCUCUCUCACUACCAGCCUAAAGAUAAGGCCAAUACCAAGUCUUCACAGAAUUAUCUCUAGCAAAUUACUUUUUGAAUAUUGUUUAAAAAGAAGAUUUCAAACCAGGGAGGAAAAAAAAGAUAUUUGAUAUUUGGAAUCAACAUCCUGACACCUGACAUAGGAAUUCAGGAGCAAGACUAAAAAUAAAAAUGUGACUAGUAUGAAUAUUUGGACAUCCUGACAGAAAAUUUGAGUACCAAAUAAUGUGUUAUACGGCAGGUCAUUUAUUUUAAUGAAGUUAAAACAUGGGUGAAUAGCCCUGAGUUAACAUCCGUCGCCAAUCCUCCUCUUUUUGCUGAGGAAGACAGGCCCUGAGCUAACAUCCAUGCCCAUCUUCCUCUACUUUAUACGUGGGAUGCCUGCCACAGCAUGGCUUGACAAGCAGUGCUAGGACCACAGCCUGGAUCGGAACUGGUGAACUCCGGGCCAGCGAAGUGGAACGGGCAAAUUUAACCGCUAUGCCACCGGGCUGGCCCUUGGUUUUUGUUUUUAAACAAGAGAAAUUCAAUAUAAAGAAUAAUUAAACUCUGAUAUAAGAGUGACUGUAGGACACAAAGAUGCUCUAUCUUGCACCCUAGGGUUUAAGGACGGUACCAAAGGAAAGACGAACUCAAAAGGGCCCCCUCCCCAAGGCUGAGGUUCAGACUUUGUUGCAGCAGGUAUACCUCAGCCUCAUCCCCUCAGAUAGCAGGCACAUUUGCUGGAUUUCCCCAGCUAGAGCUGAUUUGCUGUCACUGGGCAAGCAGAAAUCAGCCCUCUGGUGGGGUUCAGGUCAUCAGCAACUGGUAGCAUGAGUGUGCAGAGAGAGUGGCAGCUCAGAGGGAAGCCUCUGGGUAUUGGUAAGCCACACACAGGCCUGCAGAUGGAGUUGGGGUGCCAGAGUGUCCAGGAGGCCUUCAGGAUGCUGGUCUCCAUCGAGAGAGCCAUGGGAAGGGGAUCACCAGGCCAAGUAGAGGUCCUGGGCAUGAGGUUGGGUGCUCCCCCUCACCCAUGGACCUACUGUGCAGCAGGAACCCUUACUCCUGCAGUGUCCCUCCAGUGCGCAGUCCUGAGAAAGUUUCCCAUCAUGCUCACUGUGAAGAAGAGAUGCUCAAAGGAGUGCUGUCCAUUAGAGCAGAGCACGUGUGGAAGGUGCGCUUGGAGCUGAGAGGAAAGGCAUCGAUAUCUGGAAUACACAGUCACCUCAGGAACCCUAGGAAGCUAGAACUUGCAUUGUCCCUUUGCAUAGAGGAGUGGCUUUGGAAUGGAUCUAUCCUAGUUUAUAAAACUGAAAUUGUAUCAAUUUUAAAGUCAAAUAAUAAUUCAUACCCAAUGGUUUCAAUAUUUUCUGAGUGUUUAAGAAUUUUGGAAGUACUAAUUCUCCCCUUGCUACUCUCUCUCCCCAAUUAGCUUCUCCUCCCACAGGUUCAUACUAUUUUAUUAUUAGUUUCUAAGCUCUUUAGGACACCAAAGCUAUUUAUACUUCUCUGUGAUUUUCUUAAACACUCUACAAAAGGAAUAAAAAAUGAAUUGUGCUCCU